This 553-nucleotide ribosomal RNA is filed under the name uncultured crenarchaeote. Its description in RNAcentral is "bacterial SSU rRNA". It matches the Rfam family "Archaeal small subunit ribosomal RNA", at positions 325 to 879 of the family's 1478-position model. Lineage: Archaea; Thermoproteati; Thermoproteota. The record is from RNAcentral.
AUGGGGUGCAGCAGGCGAGAAAACUUUGCAAUGUGCGAAAGCACGACAAGGUUAAUCCGAGUGAUUUCUGCUAAAGAAAUCUUUUGCAAGUCAUAAAACCACUAGUGAAUAAGGGGUGGGCAAGUUCUGGUGUCAGCCGCCGCGGUAAAACCAGCACCUCAAGUGGUCAGGAGGAUUAUUGGGCCUAAAGCAUCCGUAGCCGGCUCUGUAAGUUUUCGGUUAAAUCCAUGCGCUCAACGCAUGGGCUGCCGAAAAUACUGCAUAGCUAGGGAGUGGGAGAGGUAGACGGUACUCGGUAGGAAGGGGUAAAAUCCUUUGAUCUAUCGAUGACCACCUGUGGCGAAGGCGGUCUACCAGAACACGUUCGACGGUGAGGGAUGAAAGCUGGGGGAGCAAACCGGAUUAGAUACCCGGGUAGUCCCAGCUGUAAACGAUGCAGACUCGAUGAUGCAUUGGCAUAUAGCCAGUGCAGUGUCGCAGGGAAGCCGUUAAGUCUGCCGCCUGGGAAGUACGUACGCAAGUAUGAAACUUAAAGGAAUUGGCGGGGGAGCAC